AUUGAACGCUGGCGGCCGGCCUAACACAUGCAAGUCGAACGAGUGGCGGACAGGUGCGUACUGUCUGGGAAACUGCCCGAUGGCGGGGGAUAACUACUGGAAACGGUAGCUAAUACCGCAUACCAUCGGAUGUGCCCAGUUGGGAUUGGCUAGUAGUUGGGGUAACGGCUCACCUAGGCGACGAUCCCUAGCUGGUCUGAGAGGAUGACCAGCCACACUGGGACUGAGACACGGUCCAGACUCCGACGGGAGGCAGCAGUGGGGAAUAUUGCACAAUGGGCGCAAGCCUGAUGCAGCAAUGCCGCGUGUGUGAAGAAGGCCUUCGGGUUGUAAAGCACUUUCAGCGAGGAGGCGUUACUCGCAGAAGAAGCACCGGCUAACUCCGUGCCAGCAGCCGCGGUAAUUC
This 406-nucleotide ribosomal RNA is filed under the name uncultured bacterium. RNAcentral describes it as "partial 16S ribosomal RNA". It matches the Rfam family "Bacterial small subunit ribosomal RNA", at positions 30 to 526 of the family's 1533-position model. The record is from RNAcentral.